AGAGUUCGACCUGCUCACAUCCGGGAGGUUUUUUUGAAUAGCAGGUGGUUUGUUGUUAAAAAAUCACUAGAACCACUGGCUUCCGGUCACAAAACCAGCUGCAGAACAACCAGAUACGAUUUGGAUCAAAAUGAACACGGGUGGUUUAUCAACGUCAAAACAACCGUUUGCUUCGAGUUCCUCAGUUUUUGGAACGAAUGUGCCGAAUAUUCUCUCAAAGCCUACACAAGCUGGAAGGCAUAUUCAGAAGCAAUGGGCUCUCUUAUAGCAGAUGUGUACAACAAGGGCCCAAAAGGCCAACACACAAACUAUCAUUUUCUGCACUUAGAUGAACACUUUGCAGUGGUAUACUUCUGCACUAUGUUAGAUGGGUCAAUGAUGCAAACUGCUUUAGUUCUAUCCAGGUCACAAAAUCCAGAUUUGGCUGACAUAAAGAAAAUGGAGAAAAUUUUGACAUACAAUGGACUGGACAUAGAAAUGAUUGAUGUCGUUAACUCGAAAUGUCCUUCAGCAAAAGAUGACCACGAAGAUUAUGAAAACGAAGAUGAAUUUAGUUCUGAAGACGAAUACUAAUAAAAAAUUAGCCCUACAACUAAACUUCAGGAUUUUUUGGACUCGCUUUUUGAAAUCUAAUGAAUUUAUGAAUCAAAAUCAUUAUGAAAGUUUCAAAAAAUAUAUGCUUAUUGGAUGUUUAUCAUCACUUAUUGAUCAAAGAGCUGCUGACUGCACGAUCGUUUGAAACGGUAGCAAAUCUACAGUGCUGAUUUAAAUUAU
Long non-coding RNA from Symsagittifera roscoffensis, 774 nucleotides. RefSeq lists it as uncharacterized. The record is from RefSeq and is a predicted model, not a curated record. NCBI's taxonomy places the organism in Eukaryota, Metazoa, Xenacoelomorpha, Acoela, Convolutidae. The transcript is spliced from 3 exons.